AGAGUUUGAUCCUGGCUCAGGAUGAACGCUGGCGGCGUGCUUAACACAUGCAAGUCGAACGAUCCUUCGGGAUAGUGGCGGACGGGUGAGUAACGCGUGGGAAUCUGCCCUUAGGAGGGGGAUAACGGCUGGAAACGGCCGCUAAUACCCCAUAUGCCGAGAGGUGAAACGAAUCUCGCCUGAGGAUGAGCCCGCGUCUGAUUAGCUAGUUGGUGGGGUAAAGGCCUACCAAGGCGACGAUCAGUAGCUGGUCUGAGAGGAUGAUCAGCCACACUGGGACUGAGACACGGCCCAGACUCCUACGGGUCAGCAGUGGGGAAUUUUCCGCGAUGGGCGAAAGCCUGACGGAGCAACGCCGCGUGAGGGAUGAAGGCCUCUGGGCUGUAAACCUCUUUUCUCAAGGAAGAAGAACUGACGGUACUUGAGGAAUAAGCCACGGCUAAUUCCGUGCCAGCAGCCGCGGUAAUACGGGAGUGGCAAGCGUUAUCCGGAAUUAUUGGGCGUAAAGCGUCCGCAGGCGGCCUUGUAAGUCUGUUGUUAAAGCGUGGAGCUCAACUCCAUUUAAGCAAUGGAAACUACAAGGCUGGAGUGUGGUAGGGGCAGAGGGAAUUCCCGGUGUAGCGGUGAAAUGCGUAGAUAUCGGGAAGAACACCAGUGGCGAAGGCGCUCUGCUGGGCCAUAACUGACGCUCAUGGACGAAAGCCAGGGGAGCGAAAGGGACUAGAUACCCCUGUAGUCCUGGCCGUAAACGAUGAACACUAGGUGUCGGGGGAAUCGACCCCCUCGGUGUCGUAGCCAACGCGUUAAGUGUUCCGCCUGGGGAGUACGCACGCAAGUGUGAAACUCAAAGGAAUUGACGGGGGCCCGCACAAGCGGUGGAGUAUGUGGUUUAAUUCGAUGCAACGCGAAGAACCUUACCAGGGUUUGACAUCCUGCGAAUCCCUUGGAAACGAGGGAGUGCCUUCGGGAGCGCAGUGACAGGUGGUGCAUGGCUGUCGUCAGCUCGUGUCGUGAGAUGUUGGGUUAAGUCCCGCAACGAGCGCAACCCACGUCUUUAGUUGCCAGCAUUCAGUUGGGCACUCUAGAGAGACCGCCGGUGAUAAACCGGAGGAUGGUGUGGAUGACGUCAAGUCAUCAUGCCCCUUACAUCCUGGGCUACACACGUACUACAAUGCUACGGACAAAGGGCAGCAAGCUCGCGAGAGUUAGCAAAUCCCAUAAACCGUGGCUCAGUUCAGAUCGUAGGCUGCAACUCGCCUACGUGAAGGAGGAAUCGCUAGUAAUCGCAGGUCAGCAUACUGCGGUGAAUACGUUCCCGGGCCUUGUACACACCGCCCGUCACACCAUGGAAGUUGGCCAUGCCCGAAGUCGUUACUCCAACCCUUGUGGAGGAGGACGCCGAAGGUGGGGCUGAUGACUGGGGUGAAGUCGUAACAAGGUA
Molecule: ribosomal RNA, 1441 nt
Filed under: metagenome
Description: bacterial SSU rRNA
Rfam family: Bacterial small subunit ribosomal RNA
Source: RNAcentral